RNAcentral lists this non-coding RNA (76 nucleotides) under uncultured Lawsonibacter sp. Its description in RNAcentral is "Cyclic di-GMP-I riboswitch". It matches the Rfam family "c-di-GMP-I riboswitch aptamer", at positions 12 to 83 of the family's 87-position model. Rfam says of the family: GEMM was predicted in a large-scale screen for bacterial structured RNA regulatory elements. Genes associated with GEMM are involved in a diverse array of functions, including chemotaxis regulation, signal transduction, secretion and chitin. The record is from RNAcentral. Lineage: Bacteria; Bacillati; Bacillota; Clostridia; Eubacteriales; Oscillospiraceae.
ACGGCAAAGCCGCCGAAAGGCGGCGACGCAAAGCUAUGAGUCUACGGCAGAUACUGCUAGGAUCGUCAAGCUGCAA